CGUACACGGUGGAUGCCCUGGCAGUCAGAGGCGAUGAAGGGCGUGCUAAUCUGCGAUAAGCGCCGGUAAGGUGAUAUGAACCGUUAUAACCGGCGAUACCCGAAUGGGGAAACCCAGUGUGAUUCGUCACACUAUCAUUAACUGAAUCCAUAGGUUAAUGAGGCGAACCGGGGGAACUGAAACAUCUAAGUACCCCGAGGAAAAGAAAUCAACCGAGAUUCCCCCAGUAGCGGCGAGCGAACGGGGAGGAGCCCAGAGCCUGAAUCAGCAUGUGUGUUAGUGGAAGCGUCUGGAAAGGCGCGCGAUACAGGGUGACAGCCCCGUACACAAAAGCGCAUGUGCUGUGAGCUCGAUGAGUAGGGCGGGACACGUGGUAUCCUGUCUGAAUAUGGGGGGACCAUCCUCCAAGGCUAAAUACUCCUGACUGACCGAUAGUGAACCAGUACCGUGAGGGAAAGGCGAAAAGAACCCCGGCGAGGGGAGUGAAAAAGAACCUGAAACCGUGUACGUACAAGCAGUGGGAGCACAGGUUUACCUGUGUGACUGCGUACCUUUUGUAUAAUGGGUCAGCGACUUAUAUUCUGUAGCAAGGUUAACCGUAUAGGGGAGCCGGAGGGAAACCGAGUCUUAACCGGGCGUUAAGUUGCAGGGUAUAGACCCGAAACCCGGUGAUCUAGCCAUGGGCAGGUUGAAGGUUGGGUAACACUAACUGGAGGACCGAACCGACUAAUGUUGAAAAAUUAGCGGAUGACCUGUGGCUGGGGGUGAAAGGCCAAUCAAACCGGGAGAUAGCUGGUUCUCCCCGAAAGCUAUUUAGGUAGCGCCUCGUGAAUUCAUCUCCGGGGGUAGAGCACUGUUUCGGCUAGGGGGCCAUCCCGGCUUACCAACCCGAUGCAAACUGCGAAUACCGGAGAAUGUUAUCACGGGAGACACACGGCGGGUGCUAACGUCCGUCGUGAAGAGGGAAACAACCCAGACCGCCAGCUAAGGUCCCAAAGUCAUGGUUAAGUGGGAAACGAUGUGGGAAGGCCCAGACAGCCAGGAUGUUGGCUUAGAAGCAGCCAUCAUUUAAAGAAAGCGUAAUAGCUCACUGGUCGAGUCGGCCUGCGCGGAAGAUGUAACGGGGCUAAACCAUGCACCGAAGCUGCGGCAGCGAACGUAUCACUUAAAGCGAUUCAGCGGGUUACGAUUGACGGAGCGAAGCGACGUCAAAGCGUAUACAAAGUCGAGUCGGUUUAAGGAUACGUUCGUUGGGUAGGGGAGCGUUCUGUAAGCCUGUGAAGGUGUGUCGUGAGGCAUGCUGGAGGUAUCAGAAGUGCGAAUGCUGACAUAAGUAACGAUAAAGCGGGUGAAAAGCCCGCUCGCCGGAAGACCAAGGGUUCCUGUCCAACGUUAAUCGGGGCAGGGUGAGUCGACCCCUAAGGCGAGGCCGAAAGGCGUAGUCGAUGGGAAACGGGUUAAUAUUCCCGUACUUGGUGUUACUGCGAAGGGGGGACGGAGAAGGCUAUGUUGGCCGGGCGACGGUUGUCCCGGUUUAAGCGUGUAGGUGUGUGUUCCAGGUAAAUCCGGUUCACUUUAACACUGAGGCGUGAUGACGAGGCACUACGGUGCUGAAGCAACAAAUGCCCUGCUUCCAGGAAAAGCCUCUAAGCAUCAGGUAACAUCAAAUCGUACCCCAAACCGACACAGGUGGUCAGGUAGAGAAUACCAAGGCGCUUGAGAGAACUCGGGUGAAGGAACUAGGCAAAAUGGUGCCGUAACUUCGGGAGAAGGCACGCUGACACGUAGGUGAAGUGAUUUACUCAUGGAGCUGAAGUCAGUCGAAGAUACCAGCUGGCUGCAACUGUUUAUUAAAAACACAGCACUGUGCAAACACGAAAGUGGACGUAUACGGUGUGACGCCUGCCCGGUGCCGGAAGGUUAAUUGAUGGGGUCAGCGCAAGCGAAGCUCCUGAUCGAAGCCCCGGUAAACGGCGGCCGUAACUAUAACGGUCCUAAGGUAGCGAAAUUCCUUGUCGGGUAAGUUCCGACCUGCACGAAUGGCGUAAUGAUGGCCAGGCUGUCUCCACCCGAGACUCAGUGAAAUUGAACUCGCUGUGAAGAUGCAGUGUACCCGCGGCAAGACGGAAAGACCCCGUGAACCUUUACUAUAGCUUGACACUGAACAUUGAGCCUUGAUGUGUAGGAUAGGUGGGAGGCUUUGAAGCGUGGACGCCAGUCUGCGUGGAGCCGACCUUGAAAUACCACCCUUUAAUGUUU
RNAcentral lists this ribosomal RNA (2259 nucleotides) under Salmonella enterica. RNAcentral's name for it is "partial 23S ribosomal RNA". It matches the Rfam family "Bacterial large subunit ribosomal RNA", at positions 16 to 2215 of the family's 2925-position model. Lineage: Bacteria; Pseudomonadati; Pseudomonadota; Gammaproteobacteria; Enterobacterales; Enterobacteriaceae. RNAcentral also lists the same sequence under 1 other name. The record is from RNAcentral.